Molecule: non-coding RNA, 638 nt
Organism: Sturnus vulgaris (Common starling)
Lineage: Eukaryota; Metazoa; Chordata; Aves; Passeriformes; Sturnidae
Source: RefSeq, a predicted model, not a curated record
GUCCCGAUAUUCCGCCGGUUGCAGGAACGCGGCGCUCGGUGCGGGUUUGUGUCACAGGCUCAGUGCAGGGCUCGCCGCUGACAUCGCAGAGGGAGCGGCUGCGGCAGGAAGCGUGUGCGCGACCAGGCACACAGAAGCUGUGGUCACCUGACAACGAUAAACACAGGAAUGUUUGGGACAAGCCACCUGCAGAGCACUGAUUCUGUCACAGCAUGUUGCCCAGAGCAGCACCCACACCACGAAGUGUGGAGCUGUUAAGAUGGGCUGUACUCAGUUGAGUGUCACCUCCCCUGCUCCCAAAAAGCUGGGACUCAAGACAACUCAGUGAUGAACUGCAGCACAAAGAACUUGAACCGAACCAAGCUCACAAAGCAGCAGGUGGAACAACACCGCAGAAAAGUAAAUAAAUGCUGAGGCUUAUCAGGAACUGCUCGAAGCCCAGCAUUCACAAACAAUUCAUUACCCCAGGGGAGAGGGCCACGACGGGCAGGUUUCCACUGCAUUUAGGACACUUUUCUCUAAGAGUGGCGGAGGCCGGGAAGAGGCGGGCGAGCGAUUUAGGAACAAAAAAUUCCCGCGGCUCCGUUUGUUGUCGGAUGGGAAAGAGCCGGGACGGAGCCGGCCCGGGGCUGUCCCCU